This 64-nucleotide transfer RNA is filed under the name Aphis aurantii (black citrus aphid). RNAcentral's name for it is "tRNA-Gly". The record is from RNAcentral. Lineage: Eukaryota; Metazoa; Arthropoda; Insecta; Hemiptera; Aphididae.
AUUUUAUUAAUAUAAAAUAGUAUAUUUGAUUUCCAAUCAAAAAGUUUAAAAAUUAAAUAAAAUA